GAAUAUGGUGGCUGUGCGUGGGGUACCUUCGGGUGCACCGGUUUUCCUAUUGACCGGCCUACUAACCUGCGUACAGCCGCCACCCAA
Molecule: non-coding RNA, 87 nt
Organism: Pseudomonas sp.
Lineage: Bacteria; Pseudomonadati; Pseudomonadota; Gammaproteobacteria; Pseudomonadales; Pseudomonadaceae
Source: Rfam